UCGGUGGUUCAGUGGUAGAAUGCUCGCCUGCCACGUGGGCGGCCCGGGUUCGAUUAAAAAAUGAUUAUUUUUGCCCAGAUUCAGAU
Molecule: non-coding RNA, 86 nt
Organism: Cordylochernes scorpioides
Lineage: Eukaryota; Metazoa; Arthropoda; Arachnida; Pseudoscorpiones; Chernetidae
Source: the annotation of a GenBank genome assembly